Molecule: unclassified non-coding RNA, 342 nt
Filed under: Hevea brasiliensis (rubber tree)
Lineage: Eukaryota; Viridiplantae; Streptophyta; Magnoliopsida; Malpighiales; Euphorbiaceae
Source: RNAcentral
UUUUAUUUGAGUGCUCAGAUUUGAAAACACAGCUUCUCUCAACUCUAAACACACUGCCAAACUAAGCCUACAUUGAAGGAGAUAUUAAAAGAAGAAGAAUUAGACAAUGUAAUAUAUCAUGAUUAUUAAAAUAAAUACAAAUAAAAUUGAUUUUGAUGAGAGCCUUAUGAUGGGAAGGCAAUGGAGCAGGAGCUCAUUGCUUGUGGUUGUGGAGCUUAUGUUGCCCCCCACUCCUCAAAUUAGGCGAAAAUGACAAGGCUCCUCAAUAGGUUAUGAUAUUACUAAGCCAGGCUCUUAUCUAAGGCCCCACUGGAGUUGCCUUUAUACCCAUCUGAAAAAAAA